This 459-nucleotide ribosomal RNA is filed under the name uncultured bacterium. RNAcentral's name for it is "partial 16S ribosomal RNA". It matches the Rfam family "Bacterial small subunit ribosomal RNA", at positions 338 to 795 of the family's 1533-position model. The record is from RNAcentral.
CCUACGGGUGACAGCAGUGAGGAAUAUUGGUCAAUGGGCGGAAGCCUGAACCAGCCAAGCCGCGUGAGGGAGGAAGGUACAGAGUAUCGUAAACCUCUUUUGUCAGGGAACAAAGGCGGGGACGUGUCCCCGGAUGAGUGUACCUGAAGAAAAAGCAUCGGCUAACUCCGUGCCAGCAGCCGCGGUAAUACGGUGGAUGCGAGCGUUAUCCGGAUUUAUUGGGUUUAAAGGGUGCGCAGGCGGUCUGUUAAGUCAGCGGUCAAAGCCCGGGGCUCAACCCCGGCCCGCCGUUGAAACUGGCAGUCUCGAGUUGGAGAGAAGUAUGCGGAAUGCGCGGUGUAGCGGUGAAAUGCAUAGAUAUCGCGCAGAACUCCGAUUGCGAAGGCAGCAUGCCGGCUCCACACUGACGCUGAGGCACGAAAGCGUGGGUAUCGAACAGGAUUAGAUACCCGAGUAGUC